This 390-nucleotide ribosomal RNA is filed under the name uncultured Porphyromonadaceae bacterium. RNAcentral's name for it is "bacterial SSU rRNA". It matches the Rfam family "Bacterial small subunit ribosomal RNA", at positions 524 to 916 of the family's 1533-position model. Lineage: Bacteria; Pseudomonadati; Bacteroidota; Bacteroidia; Bacteroidales; Porphyromonadaceae. The record is from RNAcentral.
UACGGAGGAUCCGAGCGUUAUCCGGAUUUAUUGGGUUUAAAGGGUGCGCAGGCGGGAUGUUAAGUCGGCGGUGAAAUUUUGCAGCUCAACUGUAAAAGUGCCUUCGAUACUGGCUUCCUUGAGUGUGGAUGAAGUAGGCGGAAUUUGUGGUGUAGCGGUGAAAUGCUUAGAUAUCACGAGGAACUCCGAUUGCGCAGGCAGCUUACUAAGCCACAACUGACGCUCAUGCACGAAGGCGUGGGGAUCAAACAGGAUUAGAUACCCUGGUAGUCCACGCAGUAAACGAUGAUUACUGGUUGUUUGCGAUACAAUGCAAGCGACUGAGCGAAAGCGUUAAGUAAUCCACCUGGGGAGUACGUUCGCAAGAAUGAAACUUAAAGGAAUUGGCGG